CCUACGGGGGGCAGCAGUGGGGAAUUGUUCACAAUGGGCGCAAGCCUGAUGACGCAACGCCGCGUGGAGGAUGAAGGUCUUCGGAUUGUAAACUCCUGUUGCCCGGGACGAAUGGCCUCGACCUAAUACGUCGAGGUGUGACGGUACCGGGUGAGGAAGCCCCGGCUAACUCUGUGCCAGCAGCCGCGGUAAUACAGAGGGGGCAAGCGUUGUUCGGAAUUACUGGGCGUAAAGGGCGCGUAGGCGGCCUGCUAAGUCGAUCGUGAAAUCCCCGGGCUCAACCCGGGAACUGCGACCGAUACUGGUUGGCUUGAAUUCGGGAGAGGGAUGCGGAAUUCCAGGUGUAGCGGUGAAAUGCGUAGAUAUCUGGAGGAACACCGGUGGCGAAGGCGGCAUCCUGGACCGGCAUUGACGCUGAGGCGCGAAAGCCAGGGGAGCAA
RNAcentral lists this ribosomal RNA (440 nucleotides) under uncultured bacterium. Its description in RNAcentral is "bacterial SSU rRNA". It matches the Rfam family "Bacterial small subunit ribosomal RNA", at positions 338 to 771 of the family's 1533-position model. The record is from RNAcentral.